AGAUUGAACGCUAGCGGGAUGCUUUACACAUGCAAGUCGAACGGCAGCGCGGACUUCGGUCUGGCGGCGAGUGGCGAACGGGUGAGUAAUAUAUCGGAACGUGCCCAGUAGCGGGGGAUAACUACGCGAAAGCGUGGCUAAUACCGCAUACGCCCUACGGGGGAAAGGGGGGAUUCUUUCGAGAACCUCUCACUAUUGGAGCGGCCGAUAUCAGAUUAGCUAGUUGGUGAGGUAAAGGCUCACCAAGGCGACGAUCUGUAGCUGGUUUGAGAGGACGACCAGCCACACUGGGACUGAGACACGGCCCAGACUCCUACGGGAGCAGCAGUGGGAAUUUGGACAAGUGGGGAAACCUGAUCCAGCCAUCCCGCGUGUGCGAUGAAGGCCUUCGGGUGUAAGCGACUUU
Molecule: ribosomal RNA, 406 nt
Filed under: uncultured soil bacterium
Lineage: Bacteria
Description: bacterial SSU rRNA
Rfam family: Bacterial small subunit ribosomal RNA
Source: RNAcentral